This 460-nucleotide ribosomal RNA is filed under the name uncultured bacterium. Its description in RNAcentral is "partial 16S ribosomal RNA". It matches the Rfam family "Bacterial small subunit ribosomal RNA", at positions 338 to 795 of the family's 1533-position model. The record is from RNAcentral.
CCUACGGGAGGCAGCAGUGAGGAAUAUUGGUCAAUGGACGCAAGUCUGAACCAGCCAUGCCGCGUGCAGGAAGACGGCUCUAUGAGUUUUAAACUGCUUUUGUACGAGGGUAAAGGCAGAUACGCGUAUCUGUCUGAAAGUAUCGUACGAAUAAGGAUCGGCUAACUCCGUGCCAGCCGCCGCGGUAAUACGGAGGAGUCAAGCUUUAUCCGGAUUUAUUGGGUUUAAAGGGUGCGUAGGCGGUCGGAUAAGUUAGAGGUGAAAUCCCGGGGCUCAACUUCGGAAUUGCCUCUGAUACUGGUCGGCUAGAGAGUAGUUGCGGUAGGCGGAAUGUAUGGUGUAGCGGUGAAAUGCGUAGAGAUCAUACAGAACACCGAUUGCGAAGGCAGCUUACCAAGCUACAUCUGACGUUGAGGCACGAAAGCGUGGGGAGCAAACAGGAUUAGAUACCCCAGUAGUC